Oxyura jamaicensis (ruddy duck) is the source of this 7298-nucleotide long non-coding RNA. RefSeq lists it as uncharacterized. NCBI's taxonomy places the organism in Eukaryota, Metazoa, Chordata, Aves, Anseriformes, Anatidae. The record is from RefSeq and is a predicted model, not a curated record. The transcript has 2 exons.
CCACUACUUUGCCUCUGAAUAACAGAAGCUGGUCACUGGAACCACAGGUAUUUUGAAACAAGAGCUUCACCAGCACUUAAAUGACUGACCAACAGAAAAGAAGUCUCGAAAGUUAAACUGGGGACAAAUGCAUUACUCUGGAUUAUUUUUGGCCAUCAUUUAUCUCACUUUCUACUAACUGGUAAAUGAAGGUAGAGCAGACGUGCCUGUAUUGAGCUAAAUUUAAUAGGCAAGUACUUCUUGUGUGUUAUAGUACAGUAGACAAUGAUCGUGGUUAGUCUAGCCCUAGUGUUUAAAGCCAAAGUAAAAGGGUGAAGUCAGCUUUAAGGUACCAUUCUGCACUUUAUUUUCAUUGUGCCUUUUCUGUGUAGAUAGGCAUGCAAUGGAAGUAAUUAAGACUGUGAGAGGAAAGAGUAGAACUAGAAACCCUUCGGGAUAGCUGGUAAUGAUCAAGCUGGUACUUGUAUUUACAGCAUAGCCUAUUAUUAUUUAACUUGGAACGAAUAAAUAAUUCCUAUGUUGUGCUAGAUGCAUGUUACUAGUGGCCAGAGUAGUGUCAGAACCGGUCAGUAAGCUUCACUGUAUACACAGAAGCAUUGAGUGUUAUGGGUUCUAUACCUCUUGUUCAAUGUACUGUGAUUUCUUGACUGCAGAUUUCCACACAAGACUCAUUCUUGAGUGAAAAUUCUUAUAGUCUAUUCUCAGCCUUUUUUUUUUCCUAGUAAAAAAGCACAAGAAAGUCUGCAACAAAAAAGAUAUGUAGGUAUGGACUUGUGUUAAGGGCUGAUCUGUAAGUUCCUAAAACCAAACAAUACCUGAACUUAUUCUGUUCAGAUGUUUCCUUUCCCUAGUGGUUGUUUGCUGAAUACAAGUGAGAUCCCUGAAGUUUGGUUAUAUCCAGUUGAAUAGAAUUCUCAUUGCUGUGUGUAUAUAGAAAGCCAAGUGUUCCUCAUUUCUAUCCUGUGCAGGUAUGUUUUUCUGCAAUGUUUUAAAAUCUGCUUUGUGCUACAGAGUCUCUUAUUUAUAUUAAGGCCUUCAUGUCUUGUUAAAUGGUCAUUGAACAGAGAUAGUGAAUUGAUGUUAAAAUCUUCUCACUGAUUUCAGCUAAACCAAUCACUAGUCUAUUAAAAAUAAACAACAGAAAAAGCUUUUUACUCACUGUCUAGCUAACAGAGUGCAUAAGAGUAGAGAGCUUUGACCCCAGAAGGCUUUGAGUGAUAGACUCUUUUCAGAUUCUUGUGUAAAGCCCAAUGUGUAAAUUUGACAGUAGUUCUCUGCGUUUGACAUUGUAACUUAAAGCUUUUAUGUUAUUUAAAUAUACUAAAAUGCACCCUGAAUGAAACUGCAGGUGCUGCUACACUUCUAUUAGAGAACAGUAAUACUUGCCUUAGAAAAACUCUGAGGCAGGUGAAAGAGUUAAGCAAAGCAGCCAGAAACCAUUUUCAGCUUUUACUUUGCAGAUACAACCUUUUAAGCAUACCUACAUUUACCUGCAAUGGCAAUCGUUUUGCAUUUUAAUGACAAAUCAAGUACGCUAACUUGCAUUUGAAACGAAAGUGCCUUAAAUGUCUCUGGCUGUCAGAAUGAGAUGUUAGGAGCUUGAUGAAAAGAGAACAAAGAAGACAAAGUAUGAAGCCUAGAUACAGUGCAAAAUGAAAUAAAACCUUGUAUGGCCUGUCAGGGGUGUCAGUUGAUAUUCCUAUCUAAAGCACAUUAUAGUAUUACUUUGCAGCUCAUAGCUUACUCAUCUGUCUUUUUUAAUUCAUCACAUUCUAGCCCACAUCUUUUAAGUCCCAUGUGUCAACAAUGGAAGAAAUCUGUUAAUUGACAAAUGAGUGUCACAAAUGUGAAUUGGUGCCUUUACAUCAGAGGCAGGUAGUCUCUGUUGUUUUUUGUCGGCUCUAUUAUUGGCAUAAGCCAGUGUAAGACAUCUGUCUUUGCCAGAAUGAGAGAUGACAGCCAAAGAAGGGCUGUCAUUGUUUUAGUGCAUGUUCAUUCUGCUGAGAUACUGUAUAAAGAUAAAAUGUCAGUUAAAAGAAUAUGAAAAACUAUUGGGAGGAAGUCCUUAAAUUACUUGGGAAGGGGAUCCGGGAAUUGGUGCCAGAAUUGAAAUCCGAACAUUCCAGCUUGCAUCUAUCACAUCAAUUUAAAAAUAAUACUUUCUGAGUAACUGGGUCAGUUUAUAAGGCAUUUAGGAAAACGUUAGGCUGUGUUGGCAUAAUUAGCUCGUAAGAUGGAAGGAAAAAACAUACCUCCACAGGAUAUGAGUUUAUUUAUUACAAGUUCAUUUUUCAGACAUGUAUAGAAUUGUCUCAAUAAAAAUAUGCUGUGUAGCAUCUCUGGCGUUGAUUUGCAUCUGUUUUGAAACAUUGAAAUUGCUCCUUUCCAAUUUCUUUUUCUGUUAUAUUUCUAUUUUAGAUUGAUGAAUAACAUAAUGAAAUAAAAAGCAUAGCCAGCUGUGAGUUGAUGAGACAAUUAAUAGGAAGAAAAUUAUUAACAGAGUUCUGGGGUGUCUAGAGGGUGUAAACUAUACAAAAGUUACUCCCAAAUCACUAAAUCCCUUUAUUGCAGUAAAUGACUUUUUAAUAUUGGAUAGUGAAAAAGAGGAAAAAGCUUUAAUGGAGGAGGUGGAAAGGGGAAUAGAAUAAAAAUGUCAUAAAAGGCCACCAUUGUCCUUUUUAUUUUGGGUCAAAAGUCAUAAGAUGGAUAGAUGAACGUUAAUCCAUCAACUUUAACAACAAUACACUAUAGGUGCUAUGAGAUGCUCUACUCCUUCCAAAAUGACCUGCAACGGGGUUCUGAGUGACCUUGUAUGAGUGUUUGGGUUUUUGAGGACUGUGACAGAACCCAGGGAAGGACUAAAUCUUGAACUGUAGUGAGAUUGGAUGUGUACAAGUUUCAGGAUGUUGCUAAACAAUUUGUUAAAAAUCUUAAUGUUAGAAUUAAUUGUUUUUACAUUUUAGAGCCAUUGAUCUGGUAGAUUGUACAAGUUCUCAAUUUUCAUACCUACGCGAUACAGGGUAACUUUGUAGGAUUUGUCUUUUUUUUUUUUUUUUUUUUUUUUUUUAAGAACUUGCUUCCAGCAAAUAUUUGAGCAGUAGAAAAAAAUGUCUAAUUGAUGUUCUUCCCUCCCCACCAUCAAAUGUGGAGCUCUCUAAUUUUGUUUGUCUUUGGUAACUGUGUUUAUCUCCAAGGAGCCUCCAAGCUGUUUUACUGCAGUCUGUGGUUAAUGUUGAUUGCAGUUUUUGUUACUAGUCUCAAGAAUUGAAAUAAAAUUAAAUACUUCUAAUGGGUGCUAGUAAUUUUAUGGGUCUUUGGUGUCUAAAGCCAAGAAUGACUAGCAUAAAGCUUCCUUUCAUUUUUACACAUUGGGUAGAAAUACUGUGGCUUUGUAAGGAGAUCUUUGUUUAAAAAUUAAGAGGGAAGGUGGUUUGUGUCUUUAAAAAACUACUUUAGGAAAAAAAAAUUCAAGUCCUUUAGCAUUCAUGUUGCUACAGGUCAUUUUAAAAGAAUACAACUGAUGAAACUUAAGGAGCGUUUGUUGUUUGUAUACAAAGGCUUACAUGCCUUAAUUGAACAACUUUUUAUUAGUGGAAGCCUUGUUUUUGUGUUUCCAGCCUUAACUGGUUCUAACUAAAUGCUUAAAUUUCCAGUCAAAAGCCAUGCAGUUGGUGGCUUUACGUGAAAUGCCAGGCAUAUCUUCUCAGGCAUGGUUUUUAGCAAUGUUUUCUCAUGUUCAGUUUCCUUUGAGAAUUGGAAAGGUACCACUCGCCAUUUUACAGAGGGCACAACUGAGAGGUGAGUAAGCCUUGCUGAUUAACUGUAGAAGCCAAGUGUAAUUUUCAGCCCUUCAUAUCAACUUGCAUAAACCACUUCCACACGUCAUCAGGAGUGAUGGGUGACACCUGUCCACCCACUGUUUCUGUAGUGCUCCUGGAAGUAGUUUAUUUUCAUGUGCCACAUAGCUAUACUUUAUAUUACCUGAUAGCAGGUGUAUCAACAAGGUUGAUGAUCCAUCUGAGACUGAAGAGAAGGUUAGGAUUUGAAUUGUAGACAUGGAGAUACAUUUUUUGCCUUUGGGUGGAUUGUCUUUUACUCAUAUUUGUUCCUUCCUAGCUGAAUGUUAUAUAAUUAUAAAAACCAAAAACACACAAAAAGAAGCACAGUAACAAAAACAGUGUGGACUUAGACUGUUGGUAGAUUUUCUUUAUUUAUUAGUUAGGAAAGAAAUAUAUGUUCAGUAAGGGUGACUAGGAAGUACAGAUGUCAUUUCUAUAAGAUAAUUGAAUUAACUUCAUUGUGAAAAUUCACGUGUGGGAAAUAAAUUGUAGAGUGAUAGGAUACUAUCCUGUCCUGUACCUCAUGCUUACUGCAAAAUGCCAGGUAAAGCCCACAGAAAACAGCUUUUAGAAUUCAGCUAUGGAAGUGUGCACUUGUAUGACAGUAUUGUCACUGCUACAUUAACUCUAGAAAGGGAGGAUACUAGAAUUUAAAUAUAAAAUGUUGUACAUGUGCGUGUGCAUACCCUCUUGGCGAUUUCCCCCUUCCGAACUGCCAGCUGUCAUACAGAAUCUGAAACAGACAAAAUUUAUUGGGUAGUAUUUAGAAACAUGUCAGUGGUAACGACUAGAUCUCUGAUUUCAAUUAUCACCUACUAAAUUUAGGCUGAUGUUAUGCAUUUGUAGACCUGUUGAAUGCACUUGACAUCAUGUUUAAAAUAUUUAAAACUGCACUGUUUUUUAAUAUCAUAUGUUGACCACUUUUUUUUCCUACACACAUCUGGUACGUGGCAGCAGGCAUCCCAUGUGACCCAUAAAAACUUCAGUUAUACUAGUUUGAGUGUUUCUUUUUUUUUCUUCAGAUAAUAUUUCAGCUAAGGACAAGAAAGUCUGAGGUAACAAUACAAAAAUUUGCUUAAUGAAAUAAACUACUACUCUAAUAUCUGUAAUUCACCUUUUUUUCACCCUUUGCAAUCAGUAUGUAAACAUUUUAAUUUUUGCUUCUGUUGUUUAGCAUUACCUUUUCAUUGAAAAUCCUUGGGAUUUAGGCACCUUUAUCAGUUGUGUACUCUUAAAACUAUUUUAAUAGCAGAUUACCUAUAGCCAUUAUUAUUCUGUAGAAUGAUUGGGUCAUUCUUAAGGUAGAAAUCAUGAUUUUGCACUGUCUCUUGUUAAAUUAGUGGAGAUUAAAGUCUGGACUCAAAUUACUCUGAGUUCCGCUUUACUUGCUCUGUGAAUGUCUUUUGUGCUAUUAUUUUAGGUUUUUGAGGGGGGAAUCUAUUAAUUCUUCUUAUUUAUUUUUUUUCCAAACAUAGGGAUACUUUGUUGUAGUGCUGCAAAAUAGUUUUGUAUCUUCCAAUCUCUUACUCUCUUAUUCCUUCCCUACCCAACAUUCUCAUACAUACUCAUUAAAUCUAUCUGCUGAUGUUUGCAUCUCUGAGCUUGCCUUCUAACUGUUGGGAUAAUAACCUUCGAAGAUACUUGUUUGGUAGUACAGAAGUGUUUGAAUGCACACUGUUCUUGUGAAAAUACUCCAAGCUUCUAAUGUUACAUUUGCAUCUGUGUGCAAGCAAUGUAAGAAACAAAAUAGUCCUCAAAUAUGUUUAGAAUACUUUAAAUAAGAUCAUUGUCCACAUCUUGAUAGCUGCAUAGGCAAGCAAGGGAAUUUUGGAGGAAUAAAUAUCCUUCUUGUUUAAAGCAAAUCCCCAGAUUGCUUAUACUAAUUUUGCUUUGUUUUAGUUUCUCAUCUUGGAAUCUGUUUUUCCUUAGUAAUCUUCUGUGAUUGUUAGCAGUUUUUUUUCUUCCUGCAUAAUACUCUCAGACAUCCUUUAACUGUUUUAUCCUUAUGGAUAUCAAAAGUAUUUUAAACUGAAGUGAUCCAAAAAUUCUGAGCACCUUACCUAUUUCUGAAAUAUACGGCAGAAUAACAGAAACAUUUGACAGGGGUAUUGGAAACGUGCCUUCUGGAAGAGAGAACAAAUCUUGAAGAUGAAAUUUCAAUAAAGUUGAAUAUAGCUCUUCUGGAGAAAUGGGUGUCUUCUCUCACUUGAUAUCAUGGUACCUGCCAGUUGUAUGUUUCUACAGCACCUAAAUGUACCUUCAGCUUUUCUUUAAAUCAAUAGGACAGUUACCGCUUUCAAUACGUCAUUGUGGAACUUCUCAAAUAUGCAAGUUUAUUGCAAAUGCUUUGUACGUGGUGUAUCUGCUGUCCACUUGAUAUGUCAGAAGUAUUCAUGUUGAGGAAAAGUAUAUGUGUGCUUGAAGAGUGGAGAGGGAUGAAAAUUAGUAUGUUGCUGUUCUCUCUUUGUUACAGCUGAUAGGUCUAAUACAAAAAAAGAAGUGCAUGCUACAGUCAUGAACUCUGAAAUAAUAAGGCUCAGGAGUUUUUAUGUUGCAUAAACAGACAGGUGAAGUGUAUUUUAUGUUCCUGUAGAGCAGAAAAGUAAAUACUGUGAUAUUUACUAUAUUUUCUCUGUGUUGAUAAGCCCUAUCAGUAAUAAAAGUCUCAAAGUUAAUUAAACUUAAGCUUUAUGUUAAAGACACUGUCCUAUUUUCUUGUUACUUAUCAAAAAUGCUUCAUCAACCAUCAUAGUCUGUAAAGUGUCUUCCAUGCAUUAAUCAGAGGCUGCUGUGGGGAACUUUAAUCACAAUAAAAACCAGUUUAUACUUUGUAAACAAAUAAUUAUUUGCUGAGAAGAAGCAAAAAAAAAAAAACAUUUCAUCCUUUCAUUUCAUCAAUGCCAAAAAGGGACAAAAACAGAGAAGAGGGAAUGCUCAUCUGUGUUAUUAAUAUAUGGCUUACUUUCAAUUCAUGACUUCUGUCACACAGUGCCAUCCUUCUAAUCAAUGGUCUGAAUGUCUUUCUGGAAUAGAUUGGAUUAAUCCUUGUUUUAAAUGUGAACAAAUGUAUUUACUCCAGCAGAGAAGAAAUAAAAAGACAGCUAAAGAAAUUCAUGUUUGGAAAUAGUAGAGGAGUUUUAUAUUGUCAUUUGCUUUGCUUUUUUAAAUGCUUUGUGAGGCUUUGUUCAUUGCAUGACUCCUACAGGAGGGUAGUGGUGCAUUAUGUGAAGACAAAUGUCUUGGGAACAAAAGGGCCCGUUUCUGCCAAAGCUAGAAGAUGGUUCUGGCUCUUCAUUUUUUUUCUACCUUCAAAGAAGUCCAAGAAAACUGCUGACACUUACAGAAGAGGAAAAUAUGAUUUAUGAUGACAUCAUGUAUUACCCAAGCAAAUCUGUUUCGAGGAAGAUUGUUUUUUUUUCCUGGUGUGUUGUAAUAAAGAAACAGUGAAUCAUUCUUGAA